GGCUCAGGAUAAACGCUGGCGGCGUGCUUAACACAUGCAAGUCGAACGGAGUGGUUCUCCCGAGAAGUGACGAAGCUUGCUUCGAAAUGACUCAUUGAAUCACUAGUGGCGGACGGGUGAGUAACGCGUGGGUAACCUGCCCUAGUACUGGGGGAUAGCAGUUGGAAACGACUGAUAAUACCGCAUAAGCACACAGCAUCGCAUGUUGCAGUGUGAAAAACUCCGGUGGUAUAGGAUGGACCCGCGUCUGAUUAGCUAGUUGGUGAGGUAACGGCCCACCAAGGCGACGAUCAGUAGCCGGCCUGAGAGGGUGUACGGCCACAUUGGGACUGAGACGCGGCCCAAACUCCUACGGGAGGCAGCAGUGGGGAAUAUUGGACAAUGGGGGCAACCCUGAUCCAAGCGACGCCGCGUGAGCGAAGAAGUAUUUCGGUAUGUAAAGCUCUAUCAGCAGGGAAGAUAAUGACGGUACCUGACUAAGAAGCACCGGCUAAAUACGUGCCAGCCGCGGC
Molecule: ribosomal RNA, 512 nt
Filed under: uncultured bacterium
Lineage: Bacteria
Description: bacterial SSU rRNA
Rfam family: Bacterial small subunit ribosomal RNA
Source: RNAcentral